CUGAUAUCAGCAACAAACACACAAACCACUCAGCCAGGCUUUUAUUUAAAGAGAUUUACAUAUUUUAUUGUAAGUGUGUGUAAAAUGGGUUUCAACAAGCGCGUGACGUGGACACGCAAAAAAAAAAAAAAAAAAAAGAAAUCUGGCUGUUGUUUGAUUUGAUAAGAUAAUAGAGCAUUUUAAAACAAAUACAAUUAAUCAGUUUAAGGGAUGUACACAAUUAUUUUAAAUCAGUCUGAACUAAAUCCAAAAUAAAGGUUAAAAUAAUUAAUUUCUGUCGAAACAACGAAAAAGAAUGAUUCGAGUCAAACUACUACUAUUGCGCAUGCGCUGAUGACCGGAAAUCCACGUGACCUCGUCAGUUCGCGCGUGUGCCAUUAACGAGCUGGAGUCCAGUCUGUGGUGGAGUGCUGCGGUCAGCGUGAUUAAACCGCAGAACAGAUCUCUCUUAACACAGACUUUAAGAAGAAGAGAUGGAUGUGUGCUUCAAGAGAAGGACAGAUCUGAGUCUCUCAGGAGCAGGAGAUGAUGCCCUCGUGCAGGAGAUGAUGACCUCGUGCAGGAGAUGAUGACCUCGUGCAGGAGAUGAUGACCUCGUGCAGGAGAUGAUGACCUCGUGCAGGAGAUGAUGACCUCGUGCAGGAGAUGAUGCCCUCGUGCAGGAGAUGAUGACCUCGUGCAGGAGAUGAUGACCUCGUGCAGGAGAUGAUGACCUCGUGCAGGAGAUGAUGCCCUCGUGCAGGAGAUGAUGACCUCGUGCAGGAGAUGAUGACCUCGUGCAGGAGAUGAUGACCUCGUGCAGGAGAUGAUGACCUCGUGCAGGAGAUGAUGACCUCGUGCAGGAGAUGAUGACCUCAUGGAGACAUGAAGCCGAACACAUCGCUGUAGUGUUUCCUGCUGCGUCUCACACAUCACGAGAAGACAAGAAACACACUGUACACAGUACACAUAACACGCAAUAGAAGUAACUUGACUUUAAAAUAUAAGUUUAAUGAAGCAUCACAGA
Molecule: long non-coding RNA, 1006 nt
Organism: Carassius gibelio (silver crucian carp)
Lineage: Eukaryota; Metazoa; Chordata; Actinopteri; Cypriniformes; Cyprinidae
Exons: 3
Source: RefSeq, a predicted model, not a curated record